AAGACCUUGCGCUUUUGGAGUGGCCGAUGCCUGAUUAGCUUGUUGGUAAGGUAAAAGCUUACCAAGGCUUCGAUCAGUAGCUGGUCUGAGAGGACGGCCAGCCACACUGGGACUGAGACACGGCCCAGACUCCUACGGGAGGCAGCAGUGGGGAAUUUUGGACAAUGGGGGCAACCCUGAUCCAGCCAUGCCGCGUGAGUGAAGAAGGCCUUCGGGUUGUAAAGCUCUUUCAGCCGGAACGAAACGGUUACGGUUAAUACCCGUGACUACUGACGGUACCGGAAGAAGAAGCACCGGCUAACUACGUGCCAGCAGCCGCGGUAAUACGUAGGGUGCGAGCGUUAAUCGGAAUUACUGGGCGUAAAGCGUGCGCAGGUGGUUUUGUAAGUCAGAUGUGAAAGCCCCGGGCUCAACCUGGGAACU
Molecule: ribosomal RNA, 423 nt
Filed under: uncultured bacterium
Lineage: Bacteria
Description: bacterial SSU rRNA
Rfam family: Bacterial small subunit ribosomal RNA
Source: RNAcentral